Misgurnus anguillicaudatus (oriental weatherfish) is the source of this 602-nucleotide non-coding RNA. The record is from RefSeq and is a predicted model, not a curated record. Lineage: Eukaryota; Metazoa; Chordata; Actinopteri; Cypriniformes; Cobitidae.
GCAGGUAUUUAAGUAUUUUAGUAACUGUGUUAAAUAAAGUACGGUAGUAUUUACUUUUAAAAUAAAUGUAUUGCUUAUUUAUAUUUUUACAGGUUGUACCUUGCAGCCAUCCAUUACAAUGUCACCAAGCCGUAACAAAAGCAGGAGAGGGAAAGUACAAGGAUAUGUUCCCAAAACACACAAGUGACAUACUUUAUGUGGAUGAUGUGAUCAGGCUUGUGUUUGCUGAGGUAUUUGAAGAUAAGCUGAAGGAAACCCCGAUUCCAAUGGACCUGGCAUCACAGUUUGAGAGACCUUCAAAGGAGGACGUGAUUGCAUGCCAUCUUCAGUGCAGGGGUCGUCGGAAGCCAACAUUCCGAUCAGGAAGCUCCAAGCAUAUCUGGAGAACAACACACGACAGGAUGAUAACCCUAAAGUGUCGUCUUAGAUAGCAUCAGCUGACAAAGCUUUGAUAUGCCAUUUAUCUGAAUAGAUAGCUGUAAGAAGUGAAUUGAAAAAUUUUUGAAAGAAGAGCACAAUAUGGUUACUAAAGUAUGUUUAUUUGUAUAUUGUUUAACAUUUAAAUAUAUAUUUGUAAUAAAUAAACUUUUGACUGACUACUA